RNAcentral lists this long non-coding RNA (1045 nucleotides) under Homo sapiens (human). Its description in RNAcentral is "HSALNT0407533". Lineage: Eukaryota; Metazoa; Chordata; Mammalia; Primates; Hominidae. The record is from RNAcentral.
CAGAGGAGCAGGCCUGGGGGGUCAGCAGCUACUGCCCUGCCUUGGGUGGGGCCAAGGGGCGCGAUUUGGGAGGGCGGGGAUCGGAGGAUGCUUCGGAGGAUGCUUCGAAGGAUCCUUGGGGUUAUCCUAGAAUAUUCCUUGAGGGUUAUCGCAGUAGGUGAGGGCCAGAUUAGUUGAGUGUGCGUAGCUGGAUCCCCGUUCUGGUCGGCGGGGCCUUGAGGGUCCUUUCCGAGGGCUUGAGGCCUGGAGAGUGCUGGGGGCGAGCACGCAGCGAAGGGGCAGGCCUGAAAUUGGGAGGAUCUGGAGUCAGCUGUCACCACUCAGUACACUUGGACCCGGCUCCCCCAAGGGUUCAAGAACUCCCCCACCAUCUUCGGGGAGGCACUGGCUCGAGACCUCCAGAAAAUUCCCACCAGAGACCUAGGCUUCGUGCUGCUCCAGUACGUUGACAACUUCCUGCUGGGACACCCCAUGGCAGUCAUGUGUGCCAAGGGAAUGGAUACCCUGCUCUGGCACCUGGAGGACUAUAGGUAUAAGGUGUCCAAGAAGGAAGCUCAGAUCUGCAGAUAGCAGGUAUGUUACCUGGGAUUUACUAUCCGACAGGGAGAGCACAGCCUGGGAUCAGAAAGAAAGCAAGUCAUCUGCAACCUGCUGGAGCCUAAGACCAGAAGGCAGGUGAGAGAAUUCUUAGGAGCUGUAGGGUUCUGCAGAUUGUGGAUCCCAAACUUUGCAGUAUUGGCUAAGCCCCUGUACGGAGUCACAAAGUGAGGAGACACAGAACUUUUCAAAUGGGGGUCCCAACAGCAAUGAGCUUUUCAUGAGUUAAAAGAGAAACUCAUGUCGGCCCCAGCCCUGGGGCUACCUGACCUAACAAAACCUUUCACACUGUAUGUGUCAGAGAGAGAAAAAAUGGCCAUUGGAGUUUUAAUCCAGAUGGUGGGGCCCUGGCCAAGACCGGUAGCCUACCUCUCCAAAGAGCUAGAUGGAGUUUCUAAGGCAAGGUCUGAAAGAUGCGAGAUGUAGAAGUACCAGCCUAACAACUUUU